This 27-nucleotide non-coding RNA is filed under the name Xenopus tropicalis (tropical clawed frog). The record is from RNAcentral. RNAcentral also lists the same sequence under 7 other names. Lineage: Eukaryota; Metazoa; Chordata; Amphibia; Anura; Pipidae.
CAGUCUCAUAAUCUGAAGGUCGUGAGU